RNAcentral lists this ribosomal RNA (253 nucleotides) under uncultured bacterium. Its description in RNAcentral is "partial 16S ribosomal RNA". It matches the Rfam family "Bacterial small subunit ribosomal RNA", at positions 524 to 776 of the family's 1533-position model. The record is from RNAcentral.
UACGUAGGGGGCAAGCGUUGUCCGGAUUUAUUGGGCGUAAAGAGCGUGUAGGCGGCCAUACAGGUCCGUUGUGAAAACUCGAGGCUCAACCUCGAGACGUCGAUGGAAACCGUAUGGCUAGAGUCCGGAAGAGGAGAGUGGAAUUCCUGGUGUAGCGGUGAAAUGCGCAGAUAUCAGGAAGAACACCCGUGGCGAAGGCGGCUCUCUGGGACGGUACUGACGCUGAGACGCGAAAGCGUGGGGAGCAAACGGG